UGAGGAAUAUUGGUCAAUGGGCGGGAGCCUGAACCAGCCAAGCCGCGUGAGGGAAGAAGGUACAGCGUAUCGUAAACCUCUUUUGUCAGGGAACAAAGGCGGGGACUAGUCCCCGGAUGAGGGUACCUGAAGAAAAAGCAUCGGCUAACUCCGUGCCAGCAGCCGCGUAAUCGAGAUCU
This 179-nucleotide ribosomal RNA is filed under the name uncultured bacterium. Its description in RNAcentral is "partial 16S ribosomal RNA". It matches the Rfam family "Bacterial small subunit ribosomal RNA", at positions 355 to 533 of the family's 1533-position model. The record is from RNAcentral.